Cynocephalus volans (Philippine flying lemur) is the source of this 74-nucleotide non-coding RNA. Lineage: Eukaryota; Metazoa; Chordata; Mammalia; Dermoptera; Cynocephalidae. The record is from the annotation of a RefSeq genome assembly.
GCUCCAGUGGCGCAAUCGGUUAGCGCGCGGUACUUAUAAUGCCGAGGUUGUGAGUUCGAUUCUCACCUGGAGCA